This is a long non-coding RNA of Aphis gossypii (cotton aphid), 1003 nucleotides long. RefSeq lists it as uncharacterized. The transcript has 3 exons. NCBI's taxonomy places the organism in Eukaryota, Metazoa, Arthropoda, Insecta, Hemiptera, Aphididae. The record is from RefSeq and is a predicted model, not a curated record.
UUUAAAAUAAAUACCUACCAUCAAGUCUAAUAUUUUAAUAAUUAUAUUCUACGAUUCUUGAGACAGUACAUAAAGCUCACAAUAAUUUUCAAAAUGUUCCUACAUAUCUCACCGACAUUCUACAUAAAAACACAGAACUACAUAUAUAUAUAUGCUCUGAAAUGUCAAAGUGAAAACUUUAGUCAUUAUCUGUGAGUUGUGACCAGGGCAAUGUUUAUGAUGUCAACGUUACGUUGAACAAUUGAACGUGUUAAAAAAAUAAAAAUUGGUGAGUAGGUAUAUUAUAACCUUUAUUGGCGUAAAAUAAUAAUGACAUUUGAGGAACUGUGCAUGGAUAUUGUGAAUAAGAGGUGAAAGAAUGAAGUGAUCCAAUUUUAUUUUCAAAUUAUGUGUAAAUAAACUGUUAUCCUUAGCUAAUAAAAAACUCGGUAUUCAUCUAACACAAUUGAAGCAAUUGCCAUUGGAUUCAGAAUAUACUGGCAAUGAGAAAUGAUAUUACCUUAAACUUAAUAUGUUAAGAUGAGUCAUAAUAAAAUUGAAUAUCCUUAUUAUUAAUCAAAAUUAUGUCUUUAACUAUACAACACAGUAUUAAUCUCAAACAAUUGAUGCAAUAUCCACUGGACUCAGAGAGUAAUAGCAAUAAUGGAUGAUAUUACCUUAUACAUAAAAUGUGGAGAAAAGUCAUUUGAAAAAUUAAUAUGCUUAUAAUUGAUCAAAAUUAUAUCUAUAAAUAUACAACACAGUAUUAAACUCAAACAAUUGAUGCAGUAUCCACUGGAUUCAGAGUGUAACAGCAAUGGUGGAUGAUAUUACCUUAUACAUAAAAUGUGGAGAAAAGUCAUUUGAAAAAUUAAUAUGCUUAUAAUUGAUCAAAAUUAUAUGUAAAUAUAGUGUUUAACGCAUUAUUCUGCUAAUAAAAAACUCACUAUUAAUCUUACACAUUUGAAACAUUAUCCAUUACAAUAACAUAACAAUGGAGACCACAUAUAAUAUAAUUUAAAAA